This 2605-nucleotide long non-coding RNA is filed under the name Olea europaea (common olive). Its description in RNAcentral is "long non-coding RNA (OEUR_LNC002189)". Lineage: Eukaryota; Viridiplantae; Streptophyta; Magnoliopsida; Lamiales; Oleaceae. The record is from RNAcentral.
UUGAUUACUAUUCUUACCCACCACUAUUAUCGCCCAAUUAUUGCUCCUCUCCAUUUUCUGUCAAAACAAAAAAUUACAGCAGUAAAUACAGAAACUUAUCCAUUAAGAAUUUAUGAUGCCCUCCAUUUUCAAUCAUUAUUAUCUCUUAUCCUUUCAUUUGCAAAGGAUAAAUACUUUUCCAAUUUUCAUUGAACUGCCAGGAGAAAACCUAUUACCAUCGUUGUUAGGUUUGAGCAUCGGUGGAUCGAUCCAAGUAUUUCAAUAUUCAGAACCAUCUAUUAUAUUUCCAGUAUUUUGUAAAUAGAACCAUUUGGGUCUCUAUAAUUACUGGAACCAAAUUCGAACUCGAAUGGUCAGUUCCAAUUCGGGUUUGAUUCGACUAAUAAUAUUUUUUUUAUAUACAUUGAAUAAACAUUUCCAUAUAGGCUAUGUCAAUACAUAUACCUUACGUGGGACUACUCAACAAUAUUUGCGUAAUAGAGAAAAUCCAACUAAGAAAUUUUCAAGAAGCAAAAUAGUGGAGAUUAAAAAUCAUGAAAAGAUGAGAAAAUUAAAAUAUCAAAAAUUAAAUUACAAUUUGAUAAGAAAUUAUUACUUUUUUAAUAAUUUUAUUACUUCCAUAAGCGAGGCAUGUUAAAAUCUAUAAUUUAAUUAUGUAUAAUGCUCAAAAUUUUCUACUUUUAAAAUAAACCGACAUGAAAAAAUACUAAUUAAUAAAUUACUACAUAAUAUUAAGAAAUUGCAGAUAUUGAAGUCGCUAUGUUUGAAUAAAAAUGAAAAAUUAUAUUUCAAAAGAGAAUCACAAACUCAAGAUAAUAAAAAAAAGUACACACCACAAUCCAAGUUAUGAAUAUAUCAAGUUCAAUUGUUAUGUGUAAUAAAAAAAUUAAAAAAACAUUUAAAUUUGUAAACAAUGGAAGAAAGUAAAAAGCUCGAAUUGUAAAGAAUGAACGCUUUAAUUUAUCAACUUACAUUACAAUAUAGCUUGAGAUUUUUGAUUCAUAGAAAACUCAGAUUGCAAAUAAUAACAUGUAUUAACCUCUAAAAUACAAUAAUUUGAUAUGUGGCAACAAGCAAAAAGUAGAAAUUAGUCUUGAUUUCUUUGUAUUAGAGUCUAUAGUUUUAGACAAAUUGUUACCCAAAUUUAAUAUGGUUUUUGGUUUUUUUUUAAAAUUUUUUUUACCAACUGAUAAAUUUUAAAUAAGAAAUUAUAUAAAAAUAGGUUCCAUUUAGAUAUCCAGAGCUCUAUUUCAGGAACCAAAAAUUGACUUGGACCCAGUUGCUUCUUUGCUCUCGAUUUGUUCCUAAUUUAUUUUUUUGGAAUAGGAUCGAAACAUAUCGUGCCAGUUCGGGAGGUUCGGUUUCGAUUAAAAUGCUCAUCCCUAAUCAUUGUUGUGACAUUUGAUUUCAAUCUAGAAAAUAAUCCUUCGUUGGUACUCAACAUACAAUUUGAGAUGGGGUACUUGUGGUUGACCACCAAAGAAUUAUCAAUGUCAAUGAUGUUGGUUUCGUCGCUCUUCGAUUUCUUUAUUUAAUCCUUCGAUAUUAUGGUGUUGUUGAGACGAUCAUGAGAAGCAAGGAUGAAGCACGGGCGAAAGUUUAGAAAUAUUCGCUAAAAAUACCCCUCAACUUUCUUUAUACUCACAAAACUCUAUCAAUUUAUUCUAAACAACAUUCUGCAAUUUUUAAUUAUGAGGAAAUCACGUAGAAUUUGAGAUGGGGAAUUUGUGGUCGACCACCAUAGAAUCGCCAUUGCUAAUGAUGCUUGUUCCAUGGCUCUUAAAUAUCUUUAUUCAGUUCGUUAAUAUUCAAUCGCCAAUGGUGGAGGUACCAAUUUAUUUUCUCUCUCUAAAAUUAUUACAAAGGGAAAGUUGCAGCAGCGGUCCCAAACAUUUUCAAUUUUUGCAGACUUUACCCUAAUCUUCAAUUUGUACCAGCGAAGGUUCCAAACCUUUAAGAAACAUGCAACUGAAGUCCGACUUGACGGAAAUCACCUACAAAACCAUUAGUUGACCAAGAAAAUGAAAUUUGACCAAAAUAAAAAAGGUAAAAUGGUAAUUUUGCCCCUAAAAUAAGUCAAAAAUCAAAUCCAAAAAAUAAAAAAAUAAACUAAAACUCAUCUUGCACCCACUAACACACUCCAAACUAGAAAAAUCACCGGCCACCGUCAACCACCCAAUUUGUCGGAAUUCAUCUCCUAGCUAGGGGCCUCAGUCCAUAAACACAUCCCACACAAUUAAUUGAACAAACAACAAUACAAGAAAUCAAAAAUCAAAUUGAAAAGCUAAAGAGUUGCACGGCUUAACCUCUCAAACCGUCACCUAUGGUCACACCCAUGGUCGCGCCUCACUACCGGUAGUCAUGCCCAUCUAGGCGAGCAUAUUCAUAGUAGAACAUCAUCAAAUUAUGGUCAUAUUACGAUGGACUGAUUGGGAAUAUUGGUGCUGAAAAUGGUGAUGAGGUACUGUUGGAGUGCCAAAUUUCUUUUGUAGAAGGAUUGCAAAUUAAUUGUGACGAAUAACUGGAGUUGGGGAGGCGACGACAAGGCUGUGGUCAUAGCUAAGGCCACGGUGCCAACGUUGGGAGAUAGGUGACAGGAUUUGGG